This 306-nucleotide unclassified non-coding RNA is filed under the name plant metagenome. Its description in RNAcentral is "partial contains 5.8S ribosomal RNA, internal transcribed spacer 2, and large subunit ribosomal RNA". The stretch from base 1 to 105 matches the Rfam family "5.8S ribosomal RNA", at positions 50 to 154 of the family's 154-position model. The record is from RNAcentral.
GAAAUGCGAUAAGUAAUGUGAAUUGCAGAAUUCCGUGAAUCAUCGAAUCUUUGAACGCACAUUGCGCCCCUUGGUAUUCCAUGGGGCAUGCCUGUUCGAGCGUCAUUUGUACCUUCAAGCUUUGCUUGGUGUUGGGUGUUUGUCUCGCCUCUGCGCGCAGACUCGCCUCAAAACAAUUGGCAGCCGGCGUAUUGAUUUCGGAGCGCAGUACAUCUCGCGCUUUGCACUCAUAACGACGACGUCCAAAAAGUACAUUUUUUACACUCUUGACCUCGGAUCAGGUAGGGAUACCCGCUGAACUUAAGC